Molecule: ribosomal RNA, 1172 nt
Filed under: Pantoea ananatis
Lineage: Bacteria; Pseudomonadati; Pseudomonadota; Gammaproteobacteria; Enterobacterales; Erwiniaceae
Description: bacterial SSU rRNA
Rfam family: Bacterial small subunit ribosomal RNA
Source: RNAcentral
CUGCCCGAUAGAGGGGUAACCACUGGAAACGGUGGCUAAUACCGCAUAACGUCGCAAGACCAAAGAGGGGGACCUUCGGGCCUCUCACUAUCGGAUGAACCCAGAUGGGAUUAUGCUAGUAAGGCGGGGUAACGGCCCACCUAGGCGACGAUCCCUAGCUGGUCUGAGAGGAUGACCAGCCACACUGGAACUGAGACACGGUCCAGACUCGCUCUACGGGAGGCAGCAGUGGGGAAUAUUGCACAAUGGGCGCCAAGCCUGAUGCAGCCAUGCCGCGUGUAUGAAGAGGCCUGGGUUGUAAAGUACUUUCAGCGGGGAGGAAGGCGAUUGGUUAAUUAAACCGCAUUGAUUGGACGUUACCCGCAGAAGAAGCACCGGCUAACUCCGUGCCAGCAGCCGCGGUAAUAGAGGGUGCAAGCGUUAACGGAAUUACUGGGCGUAAAAGCGCACGCAGGCGGUCUGUUAAGUCAGAUGUGAAAUCCCCGGGCUUAACCUGGGAACUGCAUUUGAAACUGGCAGGCUUGAUCUCGUAGAGGGGGGUAGAAUUCCAGGUGUAGCGGUGAAAUGCGAGAGAUCUGGAGGAAUACCGGUGGCGAAGGCCGUGGCCCCCUGGACGAAGACUGACGCUCAGGUGCGAAAGCGUGGGGAGCAAACAGGAAGAUACCCUGGUAGUCCACGCCGUAAACGAUGUCGACUUGGAGGUUGUUCCCUUGAGGAGUGGCUUCCGGAGCUAACGCGGUUAAGUCGACCGCCUGGGGAGUACGGCCGCAAGGUUAAAACUCAAAUGAAUUGACGGGGGCCCGCACAAGCGGUCGUGGAGCAAUGGUUUAAUUCGAUGCACGCGAAGAACCUUACCUACUCUUGACAUCCAGAGAACUUAGCAGAGAUGCUUUGGUGCCUCGGGAACUCUGAGACAGGUGCUGCAUGGCUGUCGUCAGCUCGUGUUGUGAAAUGUUGGGUUAAGUCCCGCAACCGAGCGCAACCCUUAUCCUUUGUUGCCAGCGAUUCGGUCGGGAACUCAAAGGAGACUGCCGGUGAUAAACCGGAGGAAGGUGGGGAUGACGUCAAGUCAUCAUGGCCCUCGAGUAGGGCUACACACGUGCUACAUGGCGCAUACAAAGAGAAGCGACCUUCCGCGAGAGCAAGCGGACCUCAUAAAGUGCGUCGUAGCC